Molecule: long non-coding RNA, 1640 nt
Filed under: Lactuca sativa (garden lettuce)
Lineage: Eukaryota; Viridiplantae; Streptophyta; Magnoliopsida; Asterales; Asteraceae
Description: long non-coding RNA (LSAT_LNC009243)
Source: RNAcentral
ACCUUGAGUGGAUUUGUGGGUUGUUUGAAGUGAUGAUGUGAAGAUUUCCAAGCCUAAACACUUGAAUGGGGUUGAUGAACUUCCUUGAAAAGAAUAUUAUCCUAAGAAUUUUAACACAUAAUAAUAUGUGUAAAUAUGAUGAAACUAACAUAAAAGUGUACAAAUACACUAGACUUUGAAGGAAUACUUACCAAAUUCUAAGAACACACGUGAAGAAUUUUGAACUUGGAAGAUUUUGGCUUUCUUUUUUAGAGAGUUUGAAGUUAUAGCAAAGAGAAAUGGAAGUGGGGGUUUUUGAUUGCUUACUGUCAUGUAUAAAAAGGAAAGGGUGAAGUGAUAUUACUUAGUUAACUGUUGGUUAUAAGUUUGGAUACUUGUUGGGUAUACAUCGCAUGGGAAACUGAUGAAAUAUCCUAUCACAAAGUCAACUAUCCUUGUCUUUUACUUCUCUUAAACCGAAAUCACAUUAGAAAUGACUUAAAGUGGUGAUUUCGGCCAAUGUAUGACCGAAAUCACCUUGCACCCUUUGUGAUUUCGGUACUAACUCCCCCACAAAGGUGUUUUCAGUCUUAGUUGUUUGGAUCUUAGGUGUUUUCGGCCUAGGGGUUUUCUAGGUUGGUGAUUUCGGCCUCCUUACAACCUAAAUCUCAAGGAGGGUGGGGUACUAGGCCAAAAACUAUAAAGCAAAGUUUUAAAUUCAUGAUUUAUGUUCCAACUAUUAGGCUUUGCUUGAACUUUAAGUGUUUACUAAAAAUAUGAUUUUCAAAGUAUAAAUAUAUACAUACAUAUAUACUUUAAAGCAAAGUUUUAAAUUCAUGAUUUAUGUUCCAACUAUUAGGCUAUGCUUGAACUUUAAGUGUUUACUAAAAAUAUGAUUUUCAAAGUAUAAAUAUAUACAUACAUAUAUACUUGUACAAAUAAUGCUCUUUUUGGCUUUCAAAAUUUUAUUGCAACAAGGUUACAUUGUGGUUGUACUUAUACAUAGCUACAUUUUAAACCUUGCUUACACGAAAUUUGCCAGUUGUCACACAAACCCACGUAGCUCACAAGGCAUUAUUGUCUUGCGUAUCUUUUUUUAGUGUCAUGUAUCUCAGGUUACCUUUAAGGAAAGAGGAUGAUAGAUGGAAGUUAGAAGUCACGUUAUAGAGAAUGGAGUGAAACUUGAUUAGUUCCUUAUUAUUUUGUAUUGAUGUAGUUCGUAUUUGCUUGCUAUGGAUUUAUUGAUGCUUAAUGGUAACACCCUAAGUUUUGAUUUAGAAAGUUUUUUUGGGACCGGUUUUUGUUAAAUGUUGGUUAAUACCCGAAUGUUUUUAAAACAUUGCAUUUUAAAGUUGGAAAAAAAUUUGAAAAUUUUGGGGUGUUACAUAAUGUGUGGUAGGUAUGAUGAAUUUGGUGAUGGAUAUGGCGUUUGGUGGUGGCUAGAUUGUCUUUUGUUGGUUGAUGAGGUAGUGAUGGUGGAGAUUAGGAGAUGGAGGUUAAGGUUUGGUAGGGGGGCUGAAAUCGAUGAAUUGAUUUAUGGUCAUGAUUGCCACGACGUCGUUUGGUAGGGCAAGGAAAUCUAUGGGAUGUGUCCCGAUAAACUUGAAUCCUCAAGGAUAUUAGUAGUGUUCAUGUGAUGCAGUGGUGAAUAAGAAAGAGAG